Molecule: unclassified non-coding RNA, 286 nt
Organism: Cricetulus griseus (Chinese hamster)
Lineage: Eukaryota; Metazoa; Chordata; Mammalia; Rodentia; Cricetidae
Gene: 7SK
Rfam family: 7SK RNA
About the family: 7SK was discovered as an abundant small nuclear RNA in the mid-70s but a possible function has only recently been suggested. Two independent studies have found that 7SK RNA binds the CDK9/cyclin T complex (known as elongation factor P-TEFb).
Source: Ensembl
GGGUGAUCUGGCUGCGACAUCUGUCACCACACUGAUCACCAGGGUUGAUCCAGCUGAUCUGGCUGGCUAUCACGGCCCCAUGUGUGUCCCUCCCAAAGUUGCAUGCUGGGUUGAGGAGAACAACCUUCCCCGAAUAGAGGAGCAUCUUCAAUCAAGGGUGUGUGAGUAGCUGCACUCUCCAGCUAGACCCUUCAAACAAGUUUUCAUUAUUGGGGUAGACAGUUGCUGGCAAUUUAAAAUAUACUAACUACAGUAUGUUCAUCAUCUCUAAGAAGUUUAAUACUGC